RNAcentral lists this transfer RNA (74 nucleotides) under Chrysochromulina parva. RNAcentral's name for it is "tRNA-Glu". It matches the Rfam family "tRNA". Rfam says of the family: Transfer RNA (tRNA) molecules are approximately 80 nucleotides in length. Their secondary structure includes four short double-helical elements and three loops (D, anti-codon, and T loops). Further hydrogen bonds mediate the characteristic L-shaped molecular structure. tRNAs have two regions of fundamental functional importance: the anti-codon, which is responsible for specific mRNA codon recognition, and the 3' end, to which the tRNAs corresponding amino acid is attached (by aminoacyl-tRNA synthetases). tRNAs cope with the degeneracy of the genetic code in two manners: having more than one tRNA (with a specific anti-codon) for a particular amino acid; and 'wobble' base-pairing, i.e. permitting non-standard base-pairing at the 3rd anti-codon position. The record is from RNAcentral. Lineage: Eukaryota; Haptophyta; Prymnesiales; Chrysochromulinaceae.
UAAACUUUCUUCGUCUAAUUCGGUUAGGACUUAAUUUUUUCACAAUUAGAAUAUGAGUUCAAACCUCAUAGAAA